RNAcentral lists this transfer RNA (76 nucleotides) under Camelus bactrianus (Bactrian camel). It matches the Rfam family "tRNA". From Rfam's summary of the family: Transfer RNA (tRNA) molecules are approximately 80 nucleotides in length. Their secondary structure includes four short double-helical elements and three loops (D, anti-codon, and T loops). Lineage: Eukaryota; Metazoa; Chordata; Mammalia; Artiodactyla; Camelidae. The record is from Rfam by way of RNAcentral. RNAcentral also lists the same sequence under 3 other names.
GUGGGUAUAGCUCAGUGGUACAGCGCGUGCUUAGCAGGCAUGAAUGAGGUCCUGAGUUCAAUCCCCAGUACCUCCA